CCGCCAGCAUGAGAACGCCCAGCAGUGUUGAAAUGGCGCCGUCGACCACCGGGGCAAACACGUGCUCCAGAGCCAGGGCCGAGCGCCUGUUUCUGCUGCCAAGGGCUGUCAGGAAGCCCUGCCACAGAAGGAAAGGUGGAGAGGAGAAAUGAGUCGCCCAUCACACAAAACGUGGGCUUGUGGUGGCGAGGCUGGACCUGGAUGAGUUUUGGGGCUGAAAGACGGUACGCUAGCAGGUCUGAGAGCAUCCUGGGUGUUCCUCACGCGCCCUCCCAGGAUCAGCUCCUCCUGCCAGUGCAUGAACUUCUGGCUGAAACCAUGACAACCGCCUCGGAGAUGCUUGGCAAUAUCCGGGCUCUAAAGAAGAGCAGAAACAUGAUUUUUGAAGCCAUCUUUCUCGCAGCUUCCAAGAGCAUCAAGUCGUACCUCCUCUUCUUCCUUGUUGGGCGCGCUGAGAGGACAGUCGGGGUCUGACGGCUCCAAACAAGGCCUGUUCAUGGACGUGAACUGACUGAGUUCCUCCAUCAGCUUGACGGGAUCCAGAUUCAUCCACUGGAUGUCCGGCAUGCCCCUGAGGAGAAAGCACAGAAGAUGAACAUUUUGCACCGUGGAGCAAGAACCGAAGAUGUACAUUUUGCACUGUGGAGCAAGCACGGAAGAUGAUAGAAUAAAAGCUUUCUCA
This is a long non-coding RNA of Nerophis ophidion (straightnose pipefish), 682 nucleotides long. RefSeq lists it as uncharacterized. The record is from RefSeq and is a predicted model, not a curated record. Lineage: Eukaryota; Metazoa; Chordata; Actinopteri; Syngnathiformes; Syngnathidae. The transcript is spliced from 3 exons.